GACGAACGCUGGCGGCGUGCUUAACACAUGCAAGUCGAACGGUAAGGCCCUUCGGGGUACACGAGUGGCGAACGGGUGAGUAACACGUGGGUGAUCUGCCCUGCACUUCGGGAUAAGCCUGGGAAACUGGGUCUAAUACCGGAUAGGACCACUGCCUGCAUGGGUGGUGGUGGAAAGCUUUUGCGGUGUGGGAUGGGCCCGCGGGCUAUCAGCUUGUUGGUGGGGUGAUGGUCUACCAAGGCGACGACGGGUAGCCGGCCUGAGAGGGUGACCGGCCACACUGGGACUGAGAUACGGCCCAGACUCCUACGGGAGGCAGCAGUGGGGAAUAUUGCACAAUGGGCGCAAGCCUGAUGCAGCGACGCCGCGUGAGGGAUGACGGCCUUCGGGUUGUAAACCUCUUUCAGCACCGACGAAGCGCAAGUGACGGUAGGUGCAGAAGAAGGACCGGCCAACUACGUGCCAGCAGCCGCGGUAA
This 478-nucleotide ribosomal RNA is filed under the name uncultured bacterium. Its description in RNAcentral is "partial 16S ribosomal RNA". It matches the Rfam family "Bacterial small subunit ribosomal RNA", at positions 28 to 523 of the family's 1533-position model. The record is from RNAcentral.